This 465-nucleotide ribosomal RNA is filed under the name Vreelandella stevensii. Its description in RNAcentral is "partial 16S ribosomal RNA". It matches the Rfam family "Bacterial small subunit ribosomal RNA", at positions 338 to 795 of the family's 1533-position model. Lineage: Bacteria; Pseudomonadati; Pseudomonadota; Gammaproteobacteria; Oceanospirillales; Halomonadaceae. The record is from RNAcentral.
CCUACGGGGCGCAGCAGUGGGGGAUAUUGGACAAUGGGCGAAAGCCUGAUCCAGCCAUGCCGCGUGUGUGAAGAAGGCCUUCGGGUUGUAAAGCACUUUCAGUGGGGAAGAAAGCCUUGGGGCUAAUACCCUCGAGGAAGGACAUCACCCACAGAAGAAGCACCGGCUAACUCCGUGCCAGCAGCCGCGGUAAUACGGAGGGUGCGAGUGUUAAUCGGAAUUACUGGGCGUAAAGCGCGCGUAGGCGGUCUGAUAAGCCGGUUGUGAAAGCCCCGGGCUCAACCUGGGAACGGCAUCCGGAACUGUCAGGCUAGAGUGCAGGAGAGGAAGGUAGAAUUCCCGGUGUAGCGGUGAAAUGCGUAGAGAUCGGGAGGAAUACCAGUGGCGAAGGCGGCCUUCUGGACUGACACUGACGCUGAGGUGCGAAAGCGUGGGUAGCAAACAGGAUUAGAUACCCCUGUAGUC